GUCUACGGCCAUGCCACCCUGAACGUGCCCAAUCUCAUCUGAUCUCGGAAGCUAAGCAGGGUCGGGCCUGGUUAGUACUUGGAUGGGAGACCACCUGGGAAGACCAGGUGCUGUAGGCG
Molecule: ribosomal RNA, 119 nt
Filed under: Pteropus alecto (black flying fox)
Lineage: Eukaryota; Metazoa; Chordata; Mammalia; Chiroptera; Pteropodidae
Source: RNAcentral